Molecule: long non-coding RNA, 796 nt
Filed under: Mytilus galloprovincialis (Mediterranean mussel)
Lineage: Eukaryota; Metazoa; Mollusca; Bivalvia; Mytilida; Mytilidae
Source: RNAcentral
UGAGGGUGCCAUAAAAAGAAACGUAGAAUAACAAUACGUCACCCCAACUUCGUUGAGGGUGCCAUAACUAGAAUUGCCAUUGCAAGCAAUAGCGGAUGUCACCCUGGUCCGCCAAUUGCCACUAAGUGGCAGCCAUUUCGAAACUUUUAACAUUGAAUUAACUUAAUUCACUUUACAAUACAUCAUUUUGCGAAUUUUCCGAAAAUUUAAAGCAUUUUGAAAAUUUGGAUGUUUGUACUGUUUCUAUGGCAACGGCCGCCAUUUUGGAAAUUCCAAAGAUGGAUUUCAAGUCUUCGCAUGCCAAGUAACAUUUCCACAAAGUUUUAUUCAUUUUGGAACACUUUCCGAUUUUUCACAUUAUUUCUGUUUCCAUGACAACGACAGCCAUCUUGGAAAUGCCAACCCCCGAUUGCACAUCUGCACAUGGGGGUUAACAUUAUGGUACACUUCCAUCAUCAUUGGUCCAUGCAAUUCCGAGAAAUAGUCUGGACAAAAAAGUGUGGAAUAAUAAAGAAAAAAAAAAGAAUCGUACAAUAACAAUAUGUCACCCGACCUCCGUCAGGGUGACAAAAAAAAGAAACGAACAAUAACAAUAUGUCACCCCAACUCCGUUGAGAGUGCCAUAAAAAAAAAGAAACGUAGAAUAACAAUAUGUCACCCCAACUCCGUUGAGGGUGCAUAAAAAAAGAAACGAACAAUAACAAUAUGUCACCCCAACUCCGUUGAGGGUGCCAUAAAAAGAAUCGUACAAUAACAAUAUGUCACCCGACCUCCGUCAGGGUGACAUAAUAAGCAA